UCCAAUGGUAUGUACCACUGGAAAACGGGGAACUGCAGCAACUGUGAAUUCUACCCAUCGUUAACAAAGGUGGAGGCACGCCAUAAUCAUUAUUUACGGAAAUCCAUGAUUAGACAUGUGAAUGAAAAGGAUCUUGCUUGGGAGAAAAGGAAGAUUUGGAAGGAAAAACUUAAGUUACAACGUCGAUUGCUAUUUGAUGAGGAUAUAUCGUUGGAAUCAUGUUCUGACAACAGUUCGGAUGAGGAUGAACUUCCACGAUUUAUAGAUGUGGAAGUUGAACAUUCUAUAUGAUUGGGUAUUAAGAAAUAUGAUUUUGGUGCACCAGAUCGUACAUGCAAGUACUGUGGUGUUAUAGUUUGACACCAAGAGAGGUCUAAAGGAAGCGUUGUUGACCCCGAGUUUAGCAUAUGUUGUUCCAAAGGAAAUGCCAAGCUUCCUCUUCUUAGAGAUGCCCCGGAAUAUCUAAAGAAGUUGUUAGACUUUAAUGGUGGUUCGUUGUCAAGGAAGUUUAGGAACAGUAUAAGGACGUACAACUCUAUGCUUGCAUUUACCUCAACUGGAGCAAGAUUUGACGACAAUUAUAGCAGUAAAGGUAAGGGACCCUGUACGUAUAGAAUUCAGGGAUAGAGAUAUCACAGAAUUGGCUUCAUAGUGCCUCCCAGCAACAAGGAUCCAGGAUACAACCAGAUCUAUGUAUGUGAUACAGAAUUGGCACAUGAAACAUUGCGUCGGAAAACAUAUUUUUUAAACAGACACAACUGGAUGACUUGGGAGUAGAUGGUGCACAUAAAAAAAAUGCAGACAUGGUCCAGAUGAAAAAUAAUAAUAAGAAGAGUGACAAUGAAUUGUACUUGGGCGUCAUCACAGGUUUAAUCACUAUGAUGGAUCAAAAUAAUCCGUAUGCAAAGACAUUCAGGAUGGCCAAGCAUAGGAUGCAAUCCCAACCCGCCAUCGAAUUGCGGUUAAGAAUCAUUAGUAGACGGCAAAAAGAUGCGAGGCAGUAUACCUUACCAACAUGUUCCGAAGUGGCAGCUUCAAUAAUCCAUACUCCUACAGAUGAUAAUGCGUACAUGUAUACCAUAGUUGAACAUAAGAAAAAUGGUUAUACUAGAAUUAAUGAGAUACACCCAUGCUAUAUGUGUAUGCAGUUUCUUCUUUUA
Papaver somniferum (opium poppy) is the source of this 1160-nucleotide long non-coding RNA. RefSeq lists it as uncharacterized. The record is from RefSeq and is a predicted model, not a curated record. Lineage: Eukaryota; Viridiplantae; Streptophyta; Magnoliopsida; Ranunculales; Papaveraceae. The transcript is spliced from 3 exons.